Molecule: long non-coding RNA, 4624 nt
Filed under: Solanum tuberosum (potato)
Lineage: Eukaryota; Viridiplantae; Streptophyta; Magnoliopsida; Solanales; Solanaceae
Description: long non-coding RNA (STUB_LNC003602)
Source: RNAcentral
UUCUUUUCAAUGACCAAAAAUUUGGUUUCACAAUGCCCUGCUUCAUUUUAGGUUUUCCAAAUUUCUCCUCUGCUUCUCUCAUUUCUUCAGUCUUUUCAUGUUCACUGUCUUCUUCAUUGACUCUUUCAAAUUCAAGCUUCUUAAUUGUAUUUUGUGGUAAGUUUUUCUCGCUUUUUUCUUCCUUAGUUUUUUUUUUUUGCUUCAAUAUUUUUCUUGUGCAAUUACUGAUAUUUUUAGAGAAUAUAAAGACAUGAAGUUUACAGAUGUGACCAUUUUUAUUUUCACUGAUCCAUUUGUGGAAAGGAAAAUUGGAUGAAAAUGACUAUAAACAAAAUAAUAUUUAACAACCAUCCAAACAAGUUGUUGAUGAAGAUGGAGAUACUGUUGCUCAAAUUUCGACAUACAUUCAUCAUCUGAAUCAAAUUUUGAUAUUUAUUCUUUUAGGUUAUUGUUCUCUAUUGUAUUUUCUCUAUAAAUAAUAUAUGAAUGUCAAUAGUAUUUUCUGAUUUAUUCAUGCAUCUUCACGAAUAAAUACUCAAGUUUCCUUAGUGCACCAAGGGUGUUUGAUAAUAUGCCUACAUCGAGAUGGAUCUUUGAUUCAGCACUAAAGGUUGGUCAAGCUGUGAACUAAUAAUUAUUUUUCCGUUCCUCGCUUCUUAGUGAACUUUUUUGUACUGUUGAAGGGAGAGAGGUAGAAAAGAGAUAUGCGAUACAGAAAUAUCAAGACAAAUAAAUAAAUGUCUUUUUUUCCUUUUCUUAAGUGAAGGAGAAAAGGAAAAAACAUAUGAUUGUUAUUUGUGGAAUUUGAACCUUUCAAUUCCAGGUAGAGUUUAAGUUAUUCAUAAAAUGAAUUCACCCUCAACUCCCUCUAAUUCUAUAUAGAAGCAACAUUACGUGCCUCAUUAUGAAAAAUCAUUUUUUUCCCAUUUUAUCACAGCUAAACUGGAAGGACCAAAGUUAUUUUCUUGCUUCCUGGAAUAAGAAUACAAGAGGGUACUUGAAUGUUUCUCAUAAUAUCAAAUAAUUUAGAAUAAUUGAAGGAUAUUCUCUAGAUUUGGUAACAACAUUUGAUGUUGGACCUAAUUAAUGUGCGGAAUGAUAGUUAAGUUAUCCGUAUGCGGUCAUCAUCAGUUGUAUUGGGUUAUGAAUGCUAACGAUAUGAAAUAAUGCAUUUAUUGCAAAUGAUGUACCUUUACAUUUGAGUUUUAUACAUGAUCAAUGUAAAUAUUUUUUGCACUAUCAGGUUAGCAGAUUUACAUUAACCUUCUUGAUAAAAUGUGCUACCCACAUGUAAAAAUUAUUUACGUUACGUUGACAAUGUAUAUUAUUUAUUAAACUCAUAUGUUUUAUUGUGCUUUCUAUUCUGGCUUUGAAAUUUGGGGCUGAGAAAAAGGUUGGGAUGUUCAUUGUUCAACUAAUUUGAGAUAUUAGACGAUGCUAUUGAUGUAAUGAAAUUGGAAGAUGGUGUAAUUCAAAACAUGGUAAAGUCUCUGAUUUGUAUUCACAAGUUGCAAUUCUUGAUGUUUUUCAUUGUAUUGAGUUAUUUUUCAUAAUAUUGACAAUUUUGACAAAUCUACAAUGAUUUUAACUCCACUAUAUACAUACUUGGUCGCCCAUGGAAGUAGUUUGAAAAGAUAAUUCAGCAAUUAUUUGGAAACCUUUCCUCAUGUUGGGAACCAAAAUGAGGUACAAGAAGCAAUGUAAAGUGUACUUCAAAUAGAACUUGAGUUGUACGAGUAGGGUUAAAAUAGUAAAUUCACUUUAUUCACUCUCUCACCUCUGCUUCUACUCUUUCUUCACUGCCUGACAACAUUGACAACCAUUUUAAACCUUCAACGGAGUUAAACUUUACUUCAGAGUCUCACUCCAACUUCUAAAGUUCUUUCAAUUGUUUACCUGGUAAGUAUUCUUGUGUGGUAUUGGCCCUCUUCCCUUAUGAAUUUUUACUCUUUUUUUUUUCAUUAUUGUGUUUAUGCUUCCUAUUAUUCUACUGAUUUUUCUUAUUUAUAGGUCUUCCACAAUUUUUCUUGAAUUCUUUUGAGUUCUUAUAGAUGCCUCUUGAAAUACAUGCAUAAUUUUGUUUUCAAUAUUUUGCAGUUUCUAACUCUAAAAUACUAAAAAUAUUAGUAGUAUUUUCUUAUCAAUAUAUGAUACUUUUUGCAGAUAAUUAAUGGCUUGAUGCGGUUGCAUGUUUGACGAAAUUUCCCGUGAAGGUAAGACUUGUGUGUUAUGAAGAGAGAUUAGUUACAAGAGUUGAUUGUUUUGGCAGAUGAUUCAAGGUGCUAAUGAAGUUGAACGGUGGGCUUAGGUGAAUAGACAUUUUCCCUUAUAAUAUCUUUUUUCCAUAUGGCAUCUUCCCCAAAAAAAAUUGAGAAAGAAUUUGAGUUGCCGAAUUCUUUGAUGCUGCCAUGAAAUUAGAAGUGAUAAUGUAAUGCUGAAAAUUCAGGGUAAGCUUUCAGUAUUGAUCUUUUUGUUGUUUGAACUACAUUUUUGAAAAAAAUCAGCUACUAAUAUAGUAAGUUGAGGUGGUAUUCAAAGACAAAUUGUUUAAAUACAAAGUCAGAAUAACAAGCAGGUUGAAUCAGGCGAAAAGGUUGAUUUCUGGCUCUCCAAUUUCCAAGUCCUUUAAGGAACCAUUCCACAUUUUCUUAAGAACCUUUAAACUUUUGGCAAUGGACCGUGAUGUUGGUGUCGCAUUUAUUUUUAGCAGUUGUUCUUGGAUAAAAGCUGGAACUUUAAUAUUGAAAAUUCUGUUACUAGAUUGAGUUCUAGAAGUCUGUCAUAUGAUCUUAUGCUUUCUCAAAGUUUUUGUUUCAUGUGUUCAUAUUAGUUAGAUACAAUUGAUAAUGUUAAAAAUAUUUUUCAUCUGAUCAAUCCAGAAAAAAAUGAACAUAAGAAAUGUAGCAAAUAAGUAAUAAUGUUGACGCUAGAAUUUUUUUGAGAAAUGAGUGAGUAAUAAAAUGUCCGGGUAAUGGAAGAAUCCUAUAAGACUAUUAAUUUAACGCAGAAACAAACUCUUUUCUUUAAUCUUGAGUUUGUUGAUCAAGAAUAGCUACUAACUCCUAAACUUUUUUAUAUCAUACGUGAAAUAGGAGUAGUAAUUUGAGUAUGCAAUAUAAUAAUAUUGUGUUAAGAGUGCUGUCAUAUGCUUUUUAUAGAGAAAUAUCAACUUCAUGUUUUCUCUUUUAUUUGUAGCAUAAUAUUCUUUCAUCAGAAUUUUGUGUCAUGGUCAUUAAUGGGUUCCUUCUUUUGCUUAUUGCAUUUGAAGGUUUGGCAAUGAAAUAGAUGAAAAAAAUGGAGGUUUUGCUUGAUCCAAGUAUGAGCUCUAAAAUGUAUGUGUUUAUCUUUCGCAAACAUUUUUAGCUAAUUUAUUCUCACAUUCAUUUGUUUUUGAAUAUUUUUACUCUUUCCAUGUCCCUCAAUAGAAGUAAAACAAACAUUUAUUUUGUAUUUCACGAGAGACAAUUUUGUAUAUGAGAUGUAGGUGAGACGAAGAGAAGCUGACAUUUUUAGUAUGUGCUCUUUCUAUGUCCCCAAAUUAAGAAGCAUAAGGAUAGGUAGAGCAUGAGCUCUUGCAGACUAAGUUGUUGUAUUAUAUGUUAAAUGUAAUAAAAGGAUUUUCUUAGUGGUUUAUACAACAUCAAUGUAAUAUUAUGUUAUUCAAACUUAAGGUCUGAUUUGAUUGUGAACUUUGGGCGGCCCAAAGUAAGAAAUGAACUUUUUGUUUUAGAACUACCAACUUCCAUAUUUGAAUGUGUAGCAGCCAUUAAAAAGAUAUCGAUUGAGUGCUUAUAACUUUAAGGUGGAAUAGAACUACAAAAAGUUAGGGUUGAUGUUCAUAAAAUAAACAAAUGGUGAAGCUUGCCAAUUGUAAAUCAAAUAUGUACAAAUAGUUGAACUGGUCGGUACUGACAGGUACAACCUUUGGUAUUUUUAUACAUAUGUUUGGAAAACACUUGCCUAAAUUUCCAUUUUGCAAAAAUAGGAGGAUUGACAGUAAUCUCAAUUUCAAUUGGUGGAUAGUUAUGAGAGUAAAAAUUAUUAAAUGAGUUUAGAUGAUUAAUAUACAAAGUGAAAACGUGAGAGAUCUACUAUUGAGUUCUUGUCAUAUCAGAGUCAACAACUUUGUUCGAACUGAUCGUUACACGCUUGUGAACAAUUUUGUAAAAAUAACCUAAAAAAUAAAGAGUUACAAGUGACUAUACAAACUCUUACAUGGAACUCUGGUGAACAACUCAUGCCUUUGAUUUGCUUCACUAUAUUAUGUUCGAAUACCACUUGAUUGUAUGAAGAGCUCCUACUUUGUUUUACUCAAUUUAUUCUAGGAUGUGAAAGUGAGUUUGCCUUAUAUGGGUCAAUUUAUGCAUACUGAACGUCAACAUCAGUUGUGGUAUUAGGUGUAUUAAACUUUAUUGCUGAAAUAUUGUAAAGAUGUACAAUUUCUCAAAUGGGUGGAUUUGUUGAUCUCCACAACCAACUAUACAAGAAUAUUGGAAACAAAUGGAAUUGGGUAUUUCAAAACAGGGAAGUCAUAUUUGUCGCGUUGGAAAAUUCGUCGUUUUUGCUUAUUUGUUUCUGGUGUGAAGGCUGAAAACUUUAUCUAAACUAUCAUGUGUGUGUGAGA